GAUGAACGCUGGCGGCGUGCCUAAUACAUGCAAGUCGAGCGAACAGACGAGGAGCUUGCUCCUCUGACGUUAGCGGCGGACGGGUGAGUAACACGUGGAUAACCUACCUAUAAGACUGGGAUAACUUCGGGAAACCGGAGCUAAUACCGGAUAACAUGUUGAACCGCAUGGUUCAACAGUGAAAGACGGUCUUGCUGUCACUUAUAGAUGGAUCCGCGCCGCAUUAGCUAGUUGGUAAGGUAACGGCUUACCAAGGCAACGAUGCGUAGCCGACCUGAGAGGGUGAUCGGCCACACUGGAACUGAGACACGGUCCAGACUCCUACGGGAGGCAGCAGUAGGGAAUCUUCCGCAAUGGGCGAAAUCCUGACGGAGCAACGCCGCGUGAGUGAAGAAGGUCUUCGGAUCGUAAAACUCUGUUAUUAGGGAAGAACAAAUGUGUAAGUAACUUUGCACGUCUUGACGGUACCUAAUCAGAAAGCCACGGCUAACUACGUG
RNAcentral lists this ribosomal RNA (497 nucleotides) under uncultured bacterium. Its description in RNAcentral is "partial 16S ribosomal RNA". It matches the Rfam family "Bacterial small subunit ribosomal RNA", at positions 28 to 507 of the family's 1533-position model. The record is from RNAcentral.